AAGAAUCAAAUUACGGGCACCUGAAAUUUGUUCAUUUAAAAUUCCUUUCCCUUUUUAACCCUGUCUUGGAUUUUAAAUCUCAAUCCUACCGAGUAUCACCACCUCCUUUUCGAAAUGAAAUCGUCUCGCUCAUAAUUACAAUUCAUUAUCGGAUCAACCAAAAUCUGGACCCUAAUUUAUUAGGGUUUUCUAAUUUUAUGAUCCCGAAAUCUUAUUUGAUCUUCUUCUCCUGAAAUUGACUCAUCUUUACUGGAAUUAUUCAUUUCGAUCAAUCCAAUUGAUCUGUAUAUACAUAAAAGGAAAACCCUAUUUUGAUAAAU
RNAcentral lists this unclassified non-coding RNA (320 nucleotides) under Hevea brasiliensis (rubber tree). Lineage: Eukaryota; Viridiplantae; Streptophyta; Magnoliopsida; Malpighiales; Euphorbiaceae. The record is from RNAcentral.